AGCUAGAGUACAGGAGAGGAAAGUGGAAUUCCUAGUGUAGCGGUGAAAUGCGUAGAUAUUAGGAAGAACACCAGUGGCGAAGGCGGCUUUCUGGACUGAAACUGACGCUGAGGCUCGAAAGCGUGGGGAGCAAACAGGAUUAGAUACCCUGGUAGUCCACGCCGUAAACGAUGAGUGCUAGGUGUCGGGGAGGAAUCCUCGGUGCCGCAGCUAACGCAAUAAGCACUCCACCUGGGGAGUACGACCGCAAGGUUGAAACUCAAAGGAAUUGACGGGGGCCCGCACAAGCGGUGGAGCAUGUGGUUUAAUUCGAAGCAACGCGAAGAACCUUACCAAGGCUUGACAUCCCGAUGACCGUCCUAGAGAUAGGACUUCUCUUCGGAGCAUCGGUGACAGGUGGUGCAUGGUUGUCGUCAGCUCGUGUCGUGAGAUGUUGGGUUAAGUCCCGCAACGAGCGCAACCCUUAUCUUCAGUAGCCAUCAUUCAGUUGGGCACUCUGGAGAGACUGCCGUGGAUAACACGGAGGAAGGUGGGGAUGACGUCAAAUCAUCAUGCCCCUUAUGUCUUGGGCUACACACGUGCUACAAUGGCUGGUAACAAAGUGACGCAAAACGGCGACGUUAAGCAAAUCACAAAAACCCAGUCCCAGUUCGGAUUGUAGUCUGCAACUCGACUACAUGAAGCUGGAAUCGCUAGUAAUCGCGAAUCAGCAUGUCGCGGUGAAUACGUUCCCGGGCCUUGUACACACCGCCCGUCACACCAUGGGAGUUGGAAGCACCCGAAGUCGGUGACCUAACCGUAAGGAAGGAGCCGCCGAAGGUGAAGCCAGUGACCGGGGUGAAGUCGUAACAAGGUAACC
Molecule: ribosomal RNA, 859 nt
Filed under: uncultured bacterium
Lineage: Bacteria
Description: bacterial SSU rRNA
Rfam family: Bacterial small subunit ribosomal RNA
Source: RNAcentral